RNAcentral lists this ribosomal RNA (656 nucleotides) under uncultured bacterium. RNAcentral describes it as "bacterial SSU rRNA". It matches the Rfam family "Bacterial small subunit ribosomal RNA", at positions 139 to 813 of the family's 1533-position model. The record is from RNAcentral.
GGGGACAACAGCUAGAAAUGGCUGCUAAUACCGCAUAAGCCUACAGCCUCGCAUGAGGGAGUAGGAAAAGAAAUUCGGUGCAGGAUGAGUCCGCGUCUGAUUAGCUAGUUGGAGGGGUAAAAGCCCACCAAGGCAACGAUCAGUAGCCGGCCUGAGAGGGCGACCGGCCACAUUGGGACUGAGACACGGCCCAAACUCCUACGGGAGGCAGCAGUGGGGAAUAUUGCACAAUGGGGGAAACCCUGAUGCAGCGACGCCGCGUGAGCGAGGAAGUAUUUCGGUAUGUAAAGCUCUAUCAGCAGGGACGAAAAAAGACGGUACCUGACUAAGAAGCCCCGGCUAACUACGUGCCAGCAGCCGCGGUAAUACGUAGGGGGCAAGCGUUAUCCGGAUUUACUGGGUGUAAAGGGAGCGUAGACGGCAAGGCAAGCCAGAAGUGAAAGGGCAGGGCUCAACCCUGUACAUGCUUUUGGAACUGUGGUGCUAGAGUGCAGGAGAGGUAAGUGGAAUUCCUAGUGUAGCGGUGAAAUGCGUAGAUAUUAGGAGGAACACCAGUGGCGAAGGCGGCUUACUGGACUGUAACUGACGUUGAGGCUCGAAAGCGUGGGGAGCAAACAGGAUUAGAUACCCUGGUAGUCCACGCCGUAAACGAUGAA